Molecule: transfer RNA, 63 nt
Filed under: Lissocarcinus arkati
Lineage: Eukaryota; Metazoa; Arthropoda; Malacostraca; Decapoda; Portunidae
Description: tRNA-Arg
Source: RNAcentral
AAUUAGAAAGCGAAUAAUUGCAUUUAGUUUCGACCUAAAUCUUGGCGUCUUAGCCUCUAAUUA